CCAGUUCUCUGUCUGUGAAAACCCAUCCUUUUAUUGCCAAUUGAAAAGACAAAUAUUCAAAAACUCACUUGGCCGGUUCACAGACAAGUAAGUAACUUUCUUCUUUCACAGAUUUCGGGAGUAGCUAGGAAAAUAUAACAUCGUUUUGAAAAAUAUGAUGGGAUGUAGGCUUGACUUGGCCCUCCUCUACUCCAACUUGAGACGUCCUUUAUGCUUAUGGAAA
This 223-nucleotide long non-coding RNA is filed under the name Citrus x clementina. RNAcentral describes it as "Citrus clementina (C. clementina) long non-coding RNA (CCLE_LNC004644)". Lineage: Eukaryota; Viridiplantae; Streptophyta; Magnoliopsida; Sapindales; Rutaceae. The record is from RNAcentral.